AAAUUGAAGAGUUUGAUCAUGGCUCAGAUUGAACGCUGGCGGCAGGCCUAACACAUGCAAGUCGAACGGUAACAGGAAGCAGCUUGCUGCUUUGCUGACGAGUGGCGGACGGGUGAGUAAUGUCUGGGAAACUGCCUGAUGGAGGGGGAUAACUACUGGAAACGGUGGCUAAUACCGCAUAACGUCGCAAGACCAAAGAGGGGGACCUUCGGGCCUCUUGCCAUCAGAUGUGCCCAGAUGGGAUUAGCUUGUUGGUGAGGUAACGGCUCACCAAGGCGACGAUCCCUAGCUGGUCUGAGAGGAUGACCAGCCACACUGGAACUGAGACACGGUCCAGACUCCUACGGGAGGCAGCAGUGGGGAAUAUUGCACAAUGGGCGCAAGCCUGAUGCAGCCAUGCCGCGUGUAUGAAGAAGGCCUUCGGGUUGUAAAGUACUUUCAGCGGGGAGGAAGGUGUUGUGGUUAAUAACCGCAGCAAUUGACGUUACCCGCAGAAGAAGCACCGGCUAACUCCGUGCCAGCAGCCGCGGUAAUACGGAGGGUGCAAGCGUUAAUCGGAAUUACUGGGCGUAAAGCGCACGCAGGCGGUCUGUCAAGUCGGAUGUGAAAUCCCCGGGCUCAACCUGGGAACUGCAUUCGAAACUGGCAGGCUUGAGUCUUGUAGAGGGGGGUAGAAUUCCAGGUGUAGCGGUGAAAUGCGUAGAGAUCUGGAGGAAUACCGGUGGCGAAGGCGGCCCCCUGGACAAAGACUGACGCUCAGGUGCGAAAGCGUGGGGAGCAAACAGGAUUAGAUACCCUGGUAGUCCACGCCGUAAACGAUGUCUACUUGGAGGUUGUGCCCUUGAGGCGUGGCUUCCGGAGCUAACGCGUUAAGUAGACCGCCUGGGGGAGUUACGGCCGCAAGGUUAAAACUCAAAUGAAUUGACGGGGGCCCGCACAAGCGGUGGAGCAUGUGGUUUAAUUCGAUGCAACGCGAAGAACCUUACCUGGUCUUGACAUCCACAGAACUUUCCAGAGAUGGACUGGUGCCUUCGGGAACCGUGAGACAGGUGCUGCAUGGCUGUCGUCAGCUCGUGUUGUGAAAUGUUGGGUUAAGUCCCGCAACGAGCGCAACCCUUAUCCUUUGUUGCCAGCGAUUAGGUCGGGAACUCAAAGGAGACUGCCAGUGAUAAACUGGAGGAAGGUGGGGAUGACGUCAAGUCAUCAUGGCCCUUACGACCAGGGCUACACACGUGCUACAAUGGCGCAUACAAAGAGAAGCGACCUCGCGAGGGCAAGCGGACCUCAUAAAGUGCGUCGUAGUCCGGAUUGGAGUCUGCAACUCGACUCCAUGAAGUCGGAAUCGCUAGUAAUCGUGGAUCAGAAUGCCACGGUGAAUACGUUCCCGGGACCUUGUACACACCGACCCGUCACACCACUGGCACGUGGGUGGGCACAAGCAAGCUACGCUAGCUUAACCUUCGGGAGAGCGCUUACCACUUUGUGAUUCAUGACUGGGGUGAAGUCGUAACAAGGUAACCGUAGGGGAACCUGCGGUUGGAUCACCUCCUUA
This 1552-nucleotide ribosomal RNA is filed under the name Salmonella enterica subsp. enterica serovar Choleraesuis str. SC-B67. Its description in RNAcentral is "16S ribosomal RNA". It matches the Rfam family "Bacterial small subunit ribosomal RNA". Lineage: Bacteria; Pseudomonadati; Pseudomonadota; Gammaproteobacteria; Enterobacterales; Enterobacteriaceae. The record is from RNAcentral.